This 253-nucleotide ribosomal RNA is filed under the name uncultured bacterium. Its description in RNAcentral is "partial 16S ribosomal RNA". It matches the Rfam family "Bacterial small subunit ribosomal RNA", at positions 524 to 776 of the family's 1533-position model. The record is from RNAcentral.
UACAGAGGGUGCGAGCGUUAAUCGGAAUUACUGGGCGUAAAGCGUGCGUAGACGGUUAUUUAAGUCGGAUGUGAAAGCCCCGGGCUCAACCUGGGAAUGGCAUUGGAAACUGGCGAGCUUGAGUGUGGCAGAGGGGGGUGGAAUUCCGCGUGUAGCAGCGAAAUGCGUAGAGAUGCGGAGGAACACCGAUGGCGAAGGCAGCCCCCUGGGCUGACACUGACGCUCAGGCACGAAAGCGUGGGGAGCAAACAGG